RNAcentral lists this ribosomal RNA (1166 nucleotides) under Muribaculum sp. An289. Its description in RNAcentral is "bacterial LSU rRNA". It matches the Rfam family "Bacterial large subunit ribosomal RNA", at positions 359 to 1528 of the family's 2925-position model. Lineage: Bacteria; Pseudomonadati; Bacteroidota; Bacteroidia; Bacteroidales; Muribaculaceae. The record is from RNAcentral.
AGAGGGUGACAUCCCCGUACCGGCACGCGCUGCGAGGGCGCCCCGGUCCCUGAGUACGGCAGGACACGAGAAAUCCGGUCGGAAUCUGCGGGGCCCAUCCCGCAAGGCUAAAUACUCCCGGAAGACCGAUAGCGCAUAGUACCGUGAGGGAAAGGUGAAAAGCACCCCGCGAGGGGAGUGAAAGAGAUCCUGAACCCGUGCGCCUACGAGCGGUCGGAGCCCCUUUAUGGGGUGACGGCGUGCCUUUUGCAUAAUGAGCCUACGAGUCAGCGUCGCCGGCGAGGUUAAGCGCCUCAGGCGCGUGAGCCGGAGCGAGAGCGAGCCCGAACAGGGCGUUUUAGUCGGCGGCGCUGAACGCGAAACCCGGUGAUCUACCCUUGUCCAGGCUGAAGUCGGCGUGACAGUCGAUGGAGGGCCGAACCGAUAGGCGUUGAAAAGCCUCCGGAUGAGGCGAGGGUAGGGGUGAAAGGCCAAUCAAACCGGGAGAUAGCUCGUACUCCCCGAAAUGCCUUUAGGGGCAGCCUCGGAGUCAAGUUCCGCGGAGGUAGAGCGACCGACAGGAUGCGAGGGCUUCGCCGCCUAUCAAUUCCUGACGAACUCCGAAUGCCGCGGCACGUUAUCCGGGAGUGAGUCGGCGGGUGCUAAUGUCCGUCGGCGAGAGGGAAAGAGCCCGGAGCGCCGGCCAAGGCCCCCAAUAGCGGCCCGAGUUGCAGGAACGAGGUGGGCCCGCAGAGACAGCCAGGACGUUAGCUUGGAAGCAGCUAUUCGUUCAAAGAGUGCGUAACAGCUCACUGGUCGAGCGGGCCCGCGUGGAUGAUGAACGGGCAUAAGGCCGCAGCCGCAGCCGCGCGGUGCGAAUAGCACCGGUAGGGGAGCAUUCCGGACGGCGUAGAAUGGCAUCCGCGAGGUUGCCUGGAGCGUCCGGAAAAGAAGAUGUAGGCAUGAGUAACGACAAUGCGGGCGAGAGCCCCGCACGCCGCAAGCCCAAGGUUUCCUGAUCAACGUCAUUCGGAUCAGGGUAAGUCGGGUCCUAAGGGUCCCCCGAAAGGGCAAUCCCGAUGGAAGAAUGGUCAAGAUUCCAUUACCCCCGUCUGUUUGCCGUGCGAUGACGGAGAAGUGACACCGCCGCCGCGCGACGGAAUGCGCGGUUUAAGGGAGGUAGGGGU